Molecule: ribosomal RNA, 319 nt
Filed under: Arachis hypogaea (peanut)
Lineage: Eukaryota; Viridiplantae; Streptophyta; Magnoliopsida; Fabales; Fabaceae
Description: bacterial SSU rRNA
Rfam family: Bacterial small subunit ribosomal RNA
Source: RNAcentral
UUGAGUUUGAUCCUGGCUCAGAAGGAACGCUAGCUAUAUGCUUAACACAUGCAAGUCGAACGUUGUUUUUGGGGAGCUGGGCAGAAGGAAAAGAGGCUCCUAGCGUGAAGGUAGCUUGUCUCGCCCAGGUCUUUCUGGUAUGAAAAGACCAGGGAAUACCAGGAGGUGGGAACAGUUGAAAACAAAGUGGCGAACGGGUGCGUAAUGCGUGGGAAUCUGCCGAACAGUUCGGGCCAAAUCCUGAAGAAAGCUAAAAAGCGCUGUUUGAUGAGCCUGCGUAGUAUUAGGUAGUUGGUCAGGUAAAGGCUGACCAAGCCAA